GAUGAACGCUGGCGGCGUGCCUAAUACAUGCAAGUCGAGCGAACCACUUCGGUGGUGAGCGGCGAACGGGUGAGUAACACGUAGGUGAUCUGCCUAUCAGACGGGGACAACGAUUGGAAACGAUCGCUAAUACCGGAUAGGACGAAAGUUCAAAGGUGCUUCUGGCACCGCUGAUGGAUGGGCUCGCGGCGCAUUAGCUAGUUGGUAGAGUAAAGGCCUACCAAGGCGACGAUGCGUAGCCGACUUGAGAGGGUAAACGGCCACACUGGGACUGAGACACGGCCCAGACUCCUACGGGAGGCAGCAGUAGGGAAUCUUCGGCAAUGGGCGAAAGCCUGACCGAGCAACGCCGCGUGAAUGAUGAAGGCCUUCGGGUUGUAAAAUUCUGUUAUAAGGGAAGAACGACUUUAGUAGGAAAUGGCUAGAGUGUGACGGUACCUUAUGAGAAAGCCACGGCUAACUACGUGCCAGCCGCCGCAGUAA
RNAcentral lists this ribosomal RNA (483 nucleotides) under uncultured bacterium. RNAcentral describes it as "partial 16S ribosomal RNA". It matches the Rfam family "Bacterial small subunit ribosomal RNA", at positions 28 to 523 of the family's 1533-position model. The record is from RNAcentral.